CUCCAUCCACAAUAUUCCUUUUUCAUUUCUUUCAAACAACAUGCCAUACAAUCUUAAUAAUUUUCAACUAGCUUAGGCAAAUAGAUCCUUUCAACAACCGUAAUUCCUCACAAUAUUCAACUAACUGUAGGCUUUAAAACAUAGUGUUAAGCUUACUGUUUUCCUUUUCCACUUUGAGUCCUUCAUGUACCCAUGGGUUUAUUGGCUUACAUGUUUUCAAUUUUUCUCCAAUCAAGCCAAUCUUUGCUGCCACAAGACAUUUCUCUAAGUCACUAACUCAUUUUUAAAGACUACUCAAGCCAAAAACAAGAAUUCUUACCGUUCCUUGCUUGAAUCACCAAAACCAAGCUUUUUCUUCCUUUCUCUCUUUUUCUUUCUUCUCCUCCUAAGGUUUAGAUGUGCUGGAAAUUGGGGUUAAAGGCUUUAAAUUUAGUGCUCAAGAAGUUUGGAGAAGAAAGGAAAAGAAAACAUGGAAAGGAAAAUGAAGAAAACUUGGUUUCAUAGUGGACAAAGAGAAAAUGGCAUGGAAGCUUCAAG
This 537-nucleotide long non-coding RNA is filed under the name Theobroma cacao (cacao). RNAcentral describes it as "long non-coding RNA (TCAC_LNC001247)". Lineage: Eukaryota; Viridiplantae; Streptophyta; Magnoliopsida; Malvales; Malvaceae. The record is from RNAcentral.